This is a non-coding RNA of Triticum aestivum (bread wheat), 124 nucleotides long. NCBI's taxonomy places the organism in Eukaryota, Viridiplantae, Streptophyta, Magnoliopsida, Poales, Poaceae. The record is from Rfam.
UUACUACUCCCUCCGUCCUGAAAUACUUGUCGAAAAAAUGAAUGUAUCUAGACGUAUUUUAGUUCUAAAUAAAUUCAUUUUUAUCAAUUCUUCGACAAGUAUUUUCGGACGGAGGGAGUAUUUU